UGGGGAAUUUUGGACAAUGGGGGAAACCCUGAUCCAGCCAUCCCGCGUGUGCGAUGAAGGCCUUCGGGUUGUAAAGCACUUUUGGCAGGAAAGAAACGUCAUGGGUUAAUACCCCGUGAAACUGACGGUACCUGCAGAAUAAGCACCGGCUAACUACGUGCCAGCAGCCGCUGUAAUACGUAGGGUGCAAGCGUUAAUCGGAAUUACUGGGCGUAAAGCGUGCGCAGGCGGUUCGGAGAGAAAGAUGUGAAAUCCCAGAGCUCAACUUUGGAACUGCAUUUUUAACUACCGGGCUAGAGUGUGUCAGAGGGAGGUGGAAUUCCGCGUGUAGCAGUGAAAUGCGUAGAUAUGCGGAGGAACACCGAUGGCGAAGGCAGCCUCCUGGGAUAACACUGACGCUCAUGCACGAAAGCGUGGGGAGCAAACAGG
Molecule: ribosomal RNA, 429 nt
Filed under: Acidobacteriota bacterium
Lineage: Bacteria; Pseudomonadati; Acidobacteriota
Description: Acidobacteria bacterium partial 16S ribosomal RNA
Rfam family: Bacterial small subunit ribosomal RNA
Source: RNAcentral